Molecule: ribosomal RNA, 501 nt
Filed under: uncultured bacterium
Lineage: Bacteria
Description: partial 16S ribosomal RNA
Rfam family: Bacterial small subunit ribosomal RNA
Source: RNAcentral
AUUGAACGCUGGCGGCAGGCUUAACACAUGCAAGUCGAGCGGGGGAAGGUAGCUUGCUACCGGACCUAGCGGCGGACGGGUGAGUAAUGCUUAGGAAUCUGCCUAUUAGUGGGGGACAACAUCUCGAAAGGGAUGCUAAUACCGCAUACGUCCUACGGGAGAAAGCAGGGGAUCUUCGGACCUUGCGCUAAUAGAUGAGCCUAAGUCGGAUUAGCUAGUUGGUGGGGUAAAGGCCUACCAAGGCGACGAUCUGUAGCGGGGCUGAGAGGAUGAUCCGCCACACUGGGACUGAGACACGGCCCAGACUCCUACGGGAGGCAGCAGUGGAGAAUAUUGGACAAUGGGGGGAACCCUGAUCCAGCCAUGCCGCGUGUGUGAAGAAGGCCUUAUGGUUGUAAAGCACUUUAAGCGAGGAGGAGGCUACUUUAGUUAAUACCUAGGGAUAGUGGACGUUACUCGCAGAAUAAGCACCGGCUAACUCUGUGCCAGCCGCCGCCGUAA